AGAAGCAUCUCUCAACACACAACAAACAAACCUAGCUUGGUAACCAAGACAGGUAGCAACAACAAAAGGAGACAAUGGAGGGCAAGAGGAUGCUCACUGGCACUACCACUUUGAAGGCGAUCAUGUGCCUGCUCAUAUUGAGCAUCGCUGUUCACUCGACCGCCGCAGCACAAUGUAGCUGCUGUGUAAGUGCCCGGGCAAAAGCAUGUUGUUUUGCUUGUAUUGCCGCAGGUGGCUCCGACAUAAUAUGCAAGAACACUUGUUGUUUCCCCUGUAUUCUUGCCGAUUCGGUUGUUGCUAAGAUGGAAGAAAUGGGAGCCAAUGUCGCGAUGGGAGGAGUAGAAUAAAAUGAUAUGCGUGCACUGCUACUAGUAUGGAUGCCAUUCACAUGCAUAUGAUGCAUUGCUUCAAGCUAUGGUCAAGUUAUGUUAAUGUUUACCUACAAUAAAUUGUUGAAUGUUUGGGGACAACUCUGGUUGAACCAUGUGUUUGUCUGAAUUACAUAUAUGUUAUGCAUUUGUGCAUGUGUGUCAGCUCACAAGCCUAUUUAUUUGCUCUUGCUGCUUGUAAUAAGGCCAUAGAGAGUUUCCACAAUGAUAUGUAGCGUGCACGUAUGUUAUAAUACAUUUAUAUAUUGUCUGCGCCCUUGCCAAUUUUA
This is a long non-coding RNA of Hordeum vulgare subsp. vulgare (domesticated barley), 658 nucleotides long. RefSeq lists it as uncharacterized. Lineage: Eukaryota; Viridiplantae; Streptophyta; Magnoliopsida; Poales; Poaceae. The transcript has 2 exons. The record is from RefSeq and is a predicted model, not a curated record.